RNAcentral lists this ribosomal RNA (253 nucleotides) under uncultured bacterium. RNAcentral describes it as "partial 16S ribosomal RNA". It matches the Rfam family "Bacterial small subunit ribosomal RNA", at positions 524 to 776 of the family's 1533-position model. The record is from RNAcentral.
GACGAACCGUGCGAACGUUGUUCGGAAUCACUGGGCUUAAAGGGCGCGUAGGCGGGCCAUCAAGUCCGGGGUGAAAUCCUCCGGCUUAACCGGAGAAUUGCCUUGGAUACUGGUGGUCUUGAGGGAAGUAGGGGUCUGCGGAACUUCCGUUGGAGCGGUGAAAUGUGUUGAUAUCGGAAGGAACGCCGGUGGCGAAAGCGGCGGACUGGGCUUCUUCUGACGCUAAGGUGCGAACGCUAGGGGAGCACACGGG